GACGAACGAUGGCGGAGGGCGGAAAAAAGGAAAGGAGAAGGGAAAGGACAUGCGGGGGAAGAGAGGGGCGAACGGGUGAGUAACACGGGGGGGAGCUGCGCGGGAGUUUGGGAUAAGCCUGGGAAACGGGGGCUAAUACCGAAUAGGAGAAAGCGCUUCAUGGGGGGUGGUGGAAAGCUUUUGCGGUGUGGGAUGGGCCCGCGGCCUAUCAGCUUGUUGGUGGGGUAAUGGCCUACCAAGGCGACGACGGGGCGGCGGCCUGAGAGGGUGACCGGCCCCACUGUGCCUCAUCUACGGCCCCGACUCCUACGGGAGGCAGCAGUGGGGAAUAUUGCACAAUGGGCGCAAGCCUGAUGCAGCGACGCCGCGUGCGGGAUUCCUCCCUUCGGGUUGUAAACCUCUUUCAAUCGGGACGAAGCGCAAGUGACGGUACCUAUAGAAGAAGCCCCGGCCCCCUACGUG
Molecule: ribosomal RNA, 462 nt
Filed under: uncultured bacterium
Lineage: Bacteria
Description: partial 16S ribosomal RNA
Rfam family: Bacterial small subunit ribosomal RNA
Source: RNAcentral